GCAUUUUCUACUAACCUGAAGUCUCUGCAAUAAAUUACAAAUAUUAAUUGAACUUCUGGUAUCCAAUACCUAGGUAGUAGUAUCACACACAGAAAAAUUAUAAAGAGUUAUCAUAUAAAUACCUUGUCUAGCAAUAGAUUGCUGCUUUCUCUUGUUCGACUUAUUGGGGUCAAGGGUGGCUAGAUACUGAGGAUAAUUUCUUUUUCAGUGCUCC
Molecule: long non-coding RNA, 214 nt
Filed under: Elaeis guineensis (African oil palm)
Lineage: Eukaryota; Viridiplantae; Streptophyta; Magnoliopsida; Arecales; Arecaceae
Description: long non-coding RNA (EGUI_LNC009004)
Source: RNAcentral